AUUGAACGCUGGCGGCAUGCUUUACACAUGCAAGUCGAACGGCAGCGGGUCCUUCGGGAUGCCGGCGAGUGGCGAACGGGUGAGUAAUGCAUCGGAACGUACCCAGACGUGGGGGAUAACUACGCGAAAGCGUAGCUAAUACCGCAUACGCCCUGAGGGGGAAAGCGGGGAGUCUUCGGACCUCGCGCGAUUGGAGCGGCCGAUGUCGGAUUAGCUAGUUGGUGGGGUAAAGGCCUACCAAGGCGACGAUCCGUAGCUGGUCUGAGAGGAUGAUCAGCCACACUGGGACUGAGACACGGCCCAGACUCCUACGGGAGGCAGCAGUGGGGAAUUUUUGGACAAUGGGCGGCAAGACCUGAUCCAGCCAUGCCGCGUGCGGG
This 380-nucleotide ribosomal RNA is filed under the name uncultured bacterium. RNAcentral describes it as "bacterial SSU rRNA". It matches the Rfam family "Bacterial small subunit ribosomal RNA", at positions 28 to 407 of the family's 1533-position model. The record is from RNAcentral.